GUGCUGGCUUCAGUGGUACAUAUAGUAAAAUUGAAACAACGCUGAGAAGAUCAGCAUGGUCCCUGCACAAGGAUGACAUAGAAAUCUGUAAAGUGUUGCAUAUUUCU
This is a small nuclear RNA of Pan troglodytes (chimpanzee), 107 nucleotides long. The record is from Ensembl. Lineage: Eukaryota; Metazoa; Chordata; Mammalia; Primates; Hominidae.